Molecule: RNase P RNA, 355 nt
Filed under: Bacteroidales bacterium OttesenSCG-928-I14
Lineage: Bacteria; Pseudomonadati; Bacteroidota; Bacteroidia; Bacteroidales
Description: RNase P RNA component class A
Rfam family: Bacterial RNase P class A
About the family: Ribonuclease P (RNase P) is a ubiquitous endoribonuclease, found in archaea, bacteria and eukarya as well as chloroplasts and mitochondria.
Source: RNAcentral
GUAGUCAGUCGCUCUGUCGCUUUAUUGGAAAAAUAAAGAGGAAAGUCCGGACAACAUAGAGCGCCCUAUUACCUAACGGGUAGCUAUUCGUGAGAGUAGAGUUAAGUAGAAGAAAAUAACCGCCUUAUUUAUAAGGUAAGGGUGAGAAGGUGAGGUAAGAGCUUACCGGGUUUUAUAGCAAUAUAAGAUGCCGUACCACUUAGGGGUUGCAAGAUCAUGUACAUCGGCGCAUGUAGAACUGCUCGUUCGAUGCCGAGGGGUAGAUUGCUGAAGGUUAAAGGUGACUUUAAUCUUAGAUAAAUGACAGAGGCUUGUUCAACAAGUACAGAAUCCGGCUUAUAGACUGACUAUUUUU